This 620-nucleotide ribosomal RNA is filed under the name Salmonella enterica. RNAcentral describes it as "bacterial SSU rRNA". It matches the Rfam family "Bacterial small subunit ribosomal RNA", at positions 895 to 1515 of the family's 1533-position model. The record is from RNAcentral. Lineage: Bacteria; Pseudomonadati; Pseudomonadota; Gammaproteobacteria; Enterobacterales; Enterobacteriaceae.
UAAAACUCAAAUGAAUUGACGGGGGCCCGCACAAGCGGUGGAGCAUGUGGUUUAAUUCGAUGCAACGCGAAGAACCUUACCUGGUCUUGACAUCCACGGAAGGUCUCAGAGAUGAGACUGUGCCUUCGGGAGCCGUGAGACAGGUGCUGCAUGGCUGUCGUCAGCUCGUGUUGUGAAAUGUUGGGUUAAGUCCCGCAACGAGCGCAACCCUUAUCCUUUGUUGCCAGCGGUCCGGCCGGGAACUCAAAGGAGACUGCCAGUGAUAAACUGGAGGAAGGUGGGGAUGACGUCAAGUCAUCAUGGCCCUUACGACCAGGGCUACACACGUGCUACAAUGGCGCAUACAAAGAGAAGCGACCUCGCGAGAGCAAGCGGACCUCAUAAAGUGCGUCGUAGUCCGGAUUGGAGUCUGCAACUCGACUCCAUGAAGUCGGAAUCGCUAGUAAUCGUGGAUCAGAAUGCCACGGUGAAUACGUUCCCGGGCCUUGUACACACCGCCCGUCACACCAUGGGAGUGGGUUGCAAAAGAAGUAGGUAGCUUAACCUUCGGGAGGGCGCUUACCACUUUGUGAUUCAUGACUGGGGUGAAGUCGUAACAAGGUAACCGUAGGGGAACCUGC